Molecule: ribosomal RNA, 460 nt
Filed under: uncultured bacterium
Lineage: Bacteria
Description: partial 16S ribosomal RNA
Rfam family: Bacterial small subunit ribosomal RNA
Source: RNAcentral
CCUACGGGUGGCAGCAGUGAGGAAUAUUGGUCAAUGGGCGGAAGCCUGAACCAGCCAAGUAGCGUGCAGGAUGACGGCCCUACGGGUUGUAAACUGCUUUUAUACGGGGAUAACGUGCCUCACGUGUAGGGUUUUGCAUGUACCGCAUGAAUAAGGACCGGCUAAUUCCGUGCCAGCAGCCGCGGUAAUACGGAAGGUCCGGGCGUUAUCCGGAUUUAUUGGGUUUAAAGGGAGCGUAGGCCGCAUGUUAAGCGUGCCGUGAAAUGCCAGGGCUCAACCCGGGCCUUGCGGCGCGAACUGGCGUGCUUGAGUGCGCGGAACGCAGGCGGAAUUCGUGGUGUAGCGGUGAAAUGCUUAGAUAUGACGAAGAACCCCGAUUGCGAAGGCAGCAUGCGGCAGCGGAACUGACGCUGAUGCUCGAAGGCGCGGGUAUCGAACAGGAUUAGAUACCCGUGUAGUC